UAGUUGUGGUAGUUGUAGAAUGUGGUGGUUGUGGAACAGAGGUUAGAGUUGAAUAAUGAGGAGGGGAUGAGUACGGUAGUGGUGGUGUGUGAGGAGAAGUAAUCAUGGCUGUGGAGACUUGUGAUGUUGAGGGGGUGGGUGGGAUGGGUAGAGUUAGGCUCGGCCAAGCUGAGGCUGGGGCGGAGAUGGUGCCAAAGGUGAUGGCAGGUGAACUGGUUUUGGUUUGCGAUGGUGGUGGUUGGCUUUGGGCGCUGCCAUUUGGGUUGAAGGUUUUGGAAUGAGUCUUGUUUUUUAUUCAUGGCAUCUAUAAAGUGAUGGAACUCUGCUUGUAGCAGCUCGAAGGACUGGUGGAGUUCUUCCACAUGGAAUGGUGUAAUUUCCUCAAGUUGGUAUGAAGAAGAGGCAAGGAGUUGUGUUUGUGGUGUUUCGGUUAUUGGGGUGAUGAAGGCAGAGGUGGUUAGGGUGGUGGAGGGAUUUAAAACCUAAAGGUUUCUUGCCGGAGCCAUCCGGCUCUGAUACCAGAUGUUGGGAACCAAAUUAAGAGAAUUGGAAAAUCAGGAAUUCAAAGAUUAAUCAUAUUUUUCAUAGCCAAUCUUGGGCAAUUCGUUUACAACAUAUAGGAGUUGCUGCAACUAGACAAAAGAGAAAGAAGACAACAAUGGAGAAGAGAGGCGAUUCUGGGUUAUUGGUUUGCUAAAUCCGAGCCCACCGCCAACAAUACUUCCAAUUACGAGUUAUGCUUUUUGGCUAGACUUGCACAAGGAGAGAACAAGGUGUGGACUGCUAUUCUCCAUCAAAUUCUGACGCAAAUUCUUUUUCCAAACUUGGUUAUGUAUAAGAUAAAUUAUGGGUUUGUACACCCUCUAGAUAAAACCCUUUGAGCCUACAUUAAGCCUUUUCUUUCAUCACCCUCAUAAUCCUUAACCCCUAAACCUUAGUAUAGUUUUAUCCUUACCCAUGUUCUAAAGACUUAGUGGAGCUAAUUUUUGAGACAUACAAGAGGUUUUUGGCGUCAAGAAU
This is a long non-coding RNA of Rosa chinensis, 1020 nucleotides long. RefSeq lists it as uncharacterized. Lineage: Eukaryota; Viridiplantae; Streptophyta; Magnoliopsida; Rosales; Rosaceae. The transcript is spliced from 3 exons. The record is from RefSeq and is a predicted model, not a curated record.